CUGGGAGCCUGUCACACCUGCGGGACCCAGUGGCCACCUGCGGCUGAAGCAGCCUGCAAUGCGGGGCACGGGCACUCGUUGUCCGUGUUGAUGCCUUUGGCACAGAUAAUCUCACAGUGUCGCUGCAGAGCCUCCAGCUGGAAAAAUUUAGCCGCCGACAGAAGCUAAAAAACCGUAAAAGAGCCCGUUAGAGGUUGGGAGGUGGAAGCCCUUCUCACACCAGACAUGAUGUCAUGCCCGUCGCCUCCCCAGCGUCUGGGAGGGCAGGGAUCGCCGUCUGUUGACAUCCCAGCCGGGCAAGUGACUUGGCAGAAGUGUGCUGAGAGACGGCAGGCUUGGGGGAGGAGAAGAAAGAGCUAAAACACCCGUCAAAGGGACUGCCUUUGGGGAAA
This is a long non-coding RNA of Eptesicus fuscus (big brown bat), 392 nucleotides long. RefSeq lists it as uncharacterized. The transcript has 3 exons. The record is from RefSeq and is a predicted model, not a curated record. NCBI's taxonomy places the organism in Eukaryota, Metazoa, Chordata, Mammalia, Chiroptera, Vespertilionidae.